Cyprinus carpio carpio is the source of this 5191-nucleotide long non-coding RNA. The record is from Ensembl. Lineage: Eukaryota; Metazoa; Chordata; Actinopteri; Cypriniformes; Cyprinidae.
GUUUGUAUUUAGGGGUUUACUGUAAAAUAAGGUAACCCAAACCAAAAAAUAUGGUAGCCCAUAUAUAUACCCGUUGUGACCCAUAAAAGCCCUAGAUAAGUACGAUCUGGGCCCCAUCAUUAACCCAUGUGGAUCCUAAAUGGGAACUACCUGGGCUACCCAUAUGGGCUUGAUAUGGAGCCCACCAAGAGCCCAUCAUCAACCCAUCUGGGCUAACCCAUGUGGGGCCACCAUGGAAACUGAGGACAAAAUUAGCUGGGUCCCAGUUGGGUUGCCCAGGUGGGCCCCAGAUAUCAGCCCAGGUGCAACCCCUUUGGGCCCCACAUGGGUGUGAGUAGACGCGCAAUGAACUUGAAGCGCAGAUGGCGUGACCGCGCUACUCUGAAACGCAGAUGGCGUGACUGCAGUUGAAGGAAAGCAACAGCAUGCUGCUCAGUGAUUCUUUUAAUCUUGUUUGUCACAUUUUCAUAUUGGUUGGAAGCCAAAUCGAAACCGAAACUAAAAUCUGAUUCGUACAGCUCCGCUGCUAACUCACGAUGAAUUUGAGUAGAUUUCCCCGCGAGCUCUUCAGGAGAACACAAGACAAGUCUUUCAGCGUUUUUCUUCCGAUUUAGAUUUAAAGGUGUUAUUGUUAAAAUGGCGACAGCAGCAGGUAGACGUAGUCCAUUAUUUGAUCGUCCUGACAUGAGUGAUCUGAGGAUUGUGCUGAUAGGAAAGAAUGGAUCAGAAAACAGGCGAGUGGCAAACACUAUACUGGGAAGAGCAGUGUUUGACAGUGAAGCUCCAUCUCAUUCACAGCAGCACAGUGACAGAAUCAGUGGAGAGCUGGAGGGGAGAUACAUCACAGUCUACAAUCCUCACCUGCUCCAGCCAAAUUUCCCACAGGGAGUGAUAAUAGAUGGAGUGAGAGACUGUGUGUCUCAUUCUGAUCCAGGACCUCAUGUGUUUGUACUCGUUCUGCAGAAUAACAACUUCAAUGAGAACGACAGACACAGAGUGAAAUAUGUACUGAACCUCUUCAGUUACUAGGCCUUGAAACACACUAUAGUGCUGACUACUGAUGAUGUGCCACGCAGAUCAAUAUUCACUUCUAGGAAUAACUCUAUUCAUGAUUUAAUAAAGGAGUGUGGAGGAGGACAUCUGAAGUUUAAUACAGUAAGCACAGGAUGGCGCUUUGAGAUUUUCAGAAGGACAGAAGAGAUACUCAAGAAAGAAAGAAUAGAAUUUCUCAUCUGUGACAAUAAUGAGGAUGAAGAUCUGAGAAGAUCUGGGGCUUCCGUCAGAGAAGAAGACAAAAAAAGAGCAUUCUGAUCUAAAAGAGAGCACAAAAACAGCAAGUGAUGGAGGAGUGGGGACUACUGGGAAAGCAAAGCUGAACAUCGUGCUGUGUGGAAAUAACUCAACACUCAAGAACUCAGUGUCUAAAAUCUUUAGAGGCAAAAUAAGUCAACCUCAGAAAGAGAUGAGUAAUGUAUGUGUAAAGAAAGAGGGAAUGAUUCAUGGACAGAUCUCUCAGAGGAGGAAGUGAUGCGCCAGACUCACCGCUGUGUGUCUCUCUGUCACCCUGGAGUUCAUGUGUUCAUCCUCAUCAUUCCUGAUGCUCCACUAACUGAUGAAGACAGAGCAGAGAUAGAAGAGAUCCAGAGGAUCUUCAGCUCAAGAAUCAACAAACACAUCAUGAUCCUCAUAAAGCAGGAUUCAGAGCAUCAGACAGCAGAACUAAAUGAAGAAACACAGUCUGUCACUGAGAGAUUUGGAGGACAUCAUUUCAUUGACCUGAACACACACGUGUCUGUGUUGAUGGAUAAAUUGGAGCAGAUGGUUGAGGAAAAUAGUGGUGUUUAUUUCUCAACAGAGACACUGAUGGAGGCACAGAUGGAGAAACUGCUGAAAUGAAGAGGAGAAUCUGUUCAUUAGAGAUGUUUCUUUAGUUAUAAGGUAAUGCUCUGCAGGGAUUAAACACUUUUCAUAAUGGUUAAGGUCUACAUACUAUCCAAACAAAAUGAUUAGCACAUGCUUAAUAUAAAUUAUACACAGUAUAUUUUUCUGAUGAUCUUCAUAAUUCACCAUAUUUACUUGAAAUUCAAUAUAUUGUUUUAUUAGUGCCCAAGCCGCAAGGGUCAAAGCACCCUAUUGUUUUUAGGGCCCAAGCCACUAGGACACAGGGCCCUAUUGUUCUUCUAGGGAUUAUAAUUAGGGCCCAAGCCCAUGGGGUGAAGGGUUUUUGGGGCCCUUAACAUGCUCAAAAAAACACACCUUGGAAUCUGUGGCCAUUAGAGCCAGGCCGAGAGUGUUACAUGAGUGUUACAGGAGUAGAGGGGCUCUACUGCACUGCCUAGAAUAUUGUGGUCCAUAUAUCAUACAUAUUUGCCUGUAUGAACUUCGGUACACAUAUAGAUCUCAUCAAGCUGAACAACUUUUGCACUGCAUCUCAUUAGCUCCACCCAACAGGAAGUCAGCUAUUCUAGGUUUUGUAAAAAAAUGCAUGCCCUGGAAUUUGAUAUACUUAUCCUAGUGUUUUCCUCCGAUUCCCACCAAACUUCUGAUCUCAAGACAUUGAGGAUGCUAAAUUGUGAAGGGAUUUUUGAUAUCUCGAACAAUUUGGCCAUGCUGAGGCAACAGUAUUUAUGGCAAGAAAUCUGAUAUAGGAAGUGUUUUAUAACUUCCAUAUACAGUGUCUGAUUUUGAUCAAACUUUAGCAGUUUGUUCAUUGCAUGAAGCCGAUCACAUAGAUGUGACAAUUAUGAGUCAAAGUUAUAGCACCACCAACUGGCAGAAGGAAGUGUCUCUUUUAAAAAUGCUUUGAAUUCACCCAAUUGAAACUUGAAUUUUUAAACCGAUUUGAAUACUGUCAAAACAUGGCAGAUGUAAACCUGCAAAAGGAUUAUUGAAAUUGUAAGUAGUGUUGCCAUGGCAACAAAUUUUAUCUACAUGAUGCCAAAACACUGAGGAACCUAAAUUGCAAAUGGAUUUUGAAUAUCUUGAAUGGCGUUGCCAUGGCAAUUUAUUAAAUAAACAGCUACAAAGAAAAUGUAUCUUUAUAUUUUAAUUUUCUCAUAUCUUAAAGUUUAUUAUCUAAACAUUUCACAACUUUUUUUUCAUAUGGAAAACAAGUCAUUCUGAGGAAACAUGCUUAGUUUCAUGUAUUUACAAUACUCAAUGGCUAAAAUGUAAAACUAUUAGACAUUUCAGCUGACAGAUAAAGGCUGCUGGUUGUCCAUCAGGAUAAGAAAUCUUUUAAGCAUAAACCUCUUUCUUCUCGGUUUGCAAUAGUUAGUUUGAUAAAUAAAUAGAAUAUAUAUUGUGUUGGUAAUAUAGAUUUAUGUAAUUAUUUAACAAAUGCUUAUAGACAAUAACAAUCAUUUAAAAAUGCUUAUAUAUCAUAAAAAGUUUUGGUAACAUUUGACAGUAAGGUCUCUUUUUUAAUCCUUUUUUAAAACAUAAACUAACAAUGAACAACAUAUUUUUACAAUAUUGAUUUAAGGGGUCAUGUAAUGUUGCUAAAAAGAACAUUAUUUUGUGUAUUUGGUGUAAUGCAAUGUGUUUAUGCAGUUUAAGGUUCAAAACAUUAUUUUCCACAUACUGUAAAAUUAUUGUUUCUCCUCUAUGCCCCGCCUUCUGAAAUGCUUCCAUUUUUACAAAGCUCAUCUUUCUGAAAAGUGAGGUGUGCUCUGAUUGGCCAGCUAUCCAGUGUGUUGUGAUUAGCCGAAUGCCUCAAGCGUGUGACGGAAAUGUUAAGCCCUUAACAUACUGUGAUGUGUGUGUCCUGGCGCGACGAGACAAAACCAAUAAAACCCAUUACAAACAAGGCAUUUGUACCAUCCAGUGGGUACAUAAUUACUGAUUAUAAUGACUUAUACUGUGUUUACAUAACACCAAGCAACUUUAGGGAUCUUACCUAUUCACGAACAGCUUGUAACACUCCAAAGAGAAAGGAAAACUUGAAAUCGCAUCAUAUGACCCCUUUAAUCUUUGUUAAUUUAAUAAAUAAAAAUGUUCAUAUUAGUUAAUGGUAUUAACUAAUGUUAACAGAUACAAGUUUCAAUUUUAAUUAAUAACAUAUUAGUAAAUUCUGAACAUAAUACUGUAUAAAGAUUCAUAAAUGCAAUAUAUUGUUCAUGUUAAGUAAUAAAGUUAAUGAAUGCUAACAGCUGAAACUGAGAGUGUUACCAGAGUUUUAUAGAUUGUUCUCUUUGUGUGUGAAUGUGUUUAUCACACUCUGGUGUUCUAGAAGUAACCAUUUCAUUGCUGUGUGCUGACCAUAACAAUCAGACUGCUAAACAAUCAAUUAUAUAGUAUUUAUUUCUAUGUGAAAUAAUAAAUUUAUUAUGGAAAAUCAGAUUGUAUUGUGUUUUUCAAAUAAUGCAGUAUGUGUAAGGUUGAAAGGUACUAGUUGAAAUAAAAUAAACUGUAAUAUAUAGUAUAACAACUAGACGCCUGUCUAGGUCUAUUUUUUUUUAAAUUAGGUUGUGAAAAACUUGUUCAUUUCAUUAUGAGUUGUUUUUGUCAUGAUCAUGUAUUUUUUUAUUUGAUUUUCAUGGACUUUUGGUUUGUAUUCAUCACUUUCCUGCUUCCGUUGUUCUAGUUUCCUGCCACUCAUCAGUUACUAUGGACAUUCAUUAAUGAUCACACCUACCCGCAAUUCAGUCAUCACCAUGGAUAUUUAAGGCUGGCUGCACACUAGACAAUUUUAAGGCCCAAUUUAAAGCCCAAUUUGUACCCCUAAAUGAUCGAGGGGCAUGAUUUGUUGUUCUUUUUUGUCCAAAAAAGCAGAGUACAUCAUCCUUAUUCUUUUUUAUUCUUUGUUUUUCACUUUGAAGAAUGUGCACCAGGAGAGCCAGCUGACAACGUCGAUUGUUCUCCAUUGUGCAAUGCUGUUUCAUAGGUUAGCUUGCUGUUUAGAUUACCUUCAGUUGUCUUCUUUAAUCCUUGUAAGGUGUUUGGGUCUGUAGAGUCUGUAAGAGUGUGAGUUUUGUGUUUCUGCCCCUGACAGGAAAAGGGUCAAUUUUGACCAUAUAUGCUGUUUAUAUUACUUGUAAUAGGUAUGAAGUAAACAUCUGUUGAGUAUUUUAACAUAUAAUUUUUGAUUGUGUUGAAUUAAAAACCCAAAACUGCAUUGGGUCCACCAGACCCACGAACACUGGCUGAGUAACAAAAAUAUGAACACCAUACAAGGGUUCAUAAACUGUGC